Mus musculus (house mouse) is the source of this 3729-nucleotide long non-coding RNA. RefSeq annotates it as predicted gene, 36736. Lineage: Eukaryota; Metazoa; Chordata; Mammalia; Rodentia; Muridae. The transcript is spliced from 3 exons. The record is from RefSeq and is a predicted model, not a curated record.
UCCCUUCUCCUCCCCCUUCCUCUCCUCUUUACCCUCCCCCUUCUCUGGAUAUUGUCUCAACAUGUAAGCUAUCAACUAUUAAUCCAAUACCAUCCCUGCCUGUCCGCUGCCAUGCUCCCUGUCAUGAUGGUCACAGACUCUUAACCCUCUGAAACUGUAAGCAAGCCCCCAAUGAACUCUUUCUUCUGAAAGUCACCUUAGUUAUGAGUCUCUUCACAGCAACAGAAAAGUAACUCAGACACCAGUGAAUUCUGUCAAAACAAGUUUGGUGAGCACUACCAGGAGAAUGGGAUUAUAAGGAAAGAAGUCAUUCAGAACAAUGGGAUGGGACUUCGGGGAAACCUCUGUAUGAGAUUUUGUGAAGGAAUGCAGGCUUGUCACUCAGGGUUUUGCCAGGGAAAGGAGCUACAGCAGUCCCCAAGAUUAAGAUAUACAGUCCAAGAAACAUUUUAUAAGGUAUAAAGUUGAUUUUUAAAAAGGAUCACUAAAAGGAAGGAAGGAAGCUCAGAGACAUGACUACAUCCCAUAAGGAUCAAGGUAACAAAGGAAGGAACCAUGGUUACUAAAACACAGAAGUUCAGAGGAGGUGAUGCAAGCCAGCUGGUGCUGAUGCUGGCAUCUCUCAUGAGACUGGGUCAUCCAUGAGUUCAGAAAACAAAACACCAUAGACUGGAUCUGGAAGGGGGAAUCUUAAGACAGUCACAGGAACAGGCAGCCACUAGCAAGCGGUUAAGUCUCCCCUUUCUGUCGCAGCCUCCCCCCACCCCAACACAGAAAGCCUCCCCUACAGACAGAAUCUGUCAGGGAGUAGAGAAUGUGCCUCACGGUAGAAAUAUGGUUGACAGAAUCUCAGGCACAGCAUCAUGAAGACAAAUACAAAGGGCUGAAUUUGCAGCCAAGAGACAUCAAUUUAAUAGCUGGCUAGUGUGGGCAAAAAGAAAGAGGGCCAUUUUCACAAUUACUUUACAGAAGAAGAUUCUCCUGUCCCUGUAAGCCUAGGAAGACGAAGCCCAGGGAGAUCAAGCAAUCUGUGAAAGGUCACACAGUAGCGGAUAGACCUGGAUGAGCUAGUGCUUGUUCUGCAUUAGCUUCAGCCCUCACCGUGGACUUGGCAGAGCCUGCAUCUGAUUGAGGUGCCACUGACGACGGUCUGCCCUGGAUGGAGGAGGGAGCGGUUGAAUCACAGCCUCGAGAACACAUGAGAAACCUUCCCAGCCAUCUCUCCAUCAGGCUAAUGAUCCAAAGAAUACUGAGGAGGCAGAUAAGGCACAGUGACUACAGCAGAGUUGCCCUUGAUGUUCUGAGACCACCCCAGACCAGCUGAUCCAAUUCACCCAGAUGACCAACCAAGCAGGUGAGACCAACAGAGUUGUUUGAUUGAGUCUUCAUCUCGCUGCAGCUUCGCGAGUUAACAGAGAUUAGUGAUCCAUACACUCGUGAAAUGAAUGCUUAAUGUUUCAAGUCAGAGCCAUGUGAUUGUUACCUGGGACUCUGUGGUGAAUAAGCAAACUGAUCUGCUGUAUCCAAAGCAAAGUUAGGAGCUAUGCCACCGUGCACAGAAGAAGGCAGCAUCAGGUACCGUGGAGUAGGAAGUUAUGGACAGGAGCAGUUCCUAAGACGGACCAGUUCUAACCUGCUUUUGCUUUCCUGUUUUUCUCCUCUGCUCCUGUAGAAUGCUUCCCAGCAUUAGUCUCAAUCAUUAAAUCCUGGAGAAAGAGUAUGAUUUGUGCAUUAUGGGACUGUAAUUCACCUCUACCACCUUGACAGUGAUUGACACUCUCAAAUCCUACACCAAGGGUUUGGGUAGCUGUCCAAAGAGAUACAGAAGUACAACGGCUCCAAAAUGAACCAUGAGUCCAGGGCAGACAUGAGGAACAGCAUCUCCUACAAGCUCUGGAUCUUCCUUCAGGUUUUAUAGCACACAUUUGUCCAUGAGCCAGGACACAGGCAGUGCUGGCUGCGGCUGGAUGACAGAUUGAGCAUCCAAAAGAUUCUCCAACAAUUGGAAUUGAAGCCCAAAUCUAGCAAGAUGAAAUUAAAUAUGGAUUAAUGUGAAGGCCUGCACUUGUGUUCAGAGGAAGGAACAGCUGGUGGGGGCUGAGAUCAGGACGCCGGUGGUUAAUGGUAGUUUAUGUGGAAAGAUUAAAAGCUCAGAAUGUGCCAACAAUGAGAAGAUGUCCAAGAUGCUGCUGGGCUAAAGAGAUGGCUAAGAACUGGUGUGGCCUUCAUGGGCAGCUCUGAACUAUACAGCCACUCUGUCACCUAAUAGACUAAGACUCUGAGUGCCUAGCACACACCAGACUAGCUUGCACCAGUUAUAAUGUCUUGUUUAACUAACACACACACAGUGCUAUUAUUCCCAUCUUCCUCAUGAUGAAGCAAAGUAAGGGGAGGUUAAGUAACUUUCCCAAGGAUACACAACUUUGAUGGAGCCUUGGAACCCAAUCCAAAUGACUCCACAUCUUAUGCUCAUGAGCCCUGAGUCACCUGACCUCAAGAAGUGUGUCAAUUACACAAGGGAGAGAUUGGUGAGGUGCACUUAGUCUGUCCCAUGAAUUUAAAGACUCUUUCAUUCUGGAAGGUAUCAGAGUCACCAUUUCAAACAUGAGAGUCCGUGGGAAAGAACUGGAGCAUGCUGGGGCAGUAGCUGAAGAAACGCGGUCCCCCUGCAUCCGUACUUUGAGAGUGAGACGUCAGGAUGAAGUCUAUUCUGCUUAGCUGCUGGAGCUGGUGCUGGAGCAGUGGGUUUACAGCGACAUAGCUUCAUCUCAGAGUUCUGAAGAUCUUUCUGGUGUAGACUGUACUUAUACCAAACCUCAGAACACAAAUAUUAUACCAUUUACUAGACUUUUAUUAUGUGCUAAGAAUUUCUCAGUCGUGACACAGAAAGGCAUUUUCAUAAUAAAAAUCACAAGACUGGUUACUAUUACAUUGCUUACUCUAUACGAAUCGCUGCACAAUUUUAAGAAAAGGUUGCCAGCAUUAUCUCCACUUCAUAAACCACAAUAUGCAGCACAGAGAGGCUAAGAAAUCACCUAAGGUCACACAGCUAGAAAGAGGCAGGAUCCCUGUGUGAAACCAAGUUGCUCAACCCCUAGCUAGAGUCCCUGCUAUACUGGUGGCUGUGGGUCUCCUGGGAUAGCAGGGAGCGGUGGAGGCAUCUAGACACUAGAAAGUCAGCAUCCUCCUCCACGGAGUGCACUAGAAUGAAAAUCAAAGCCUCGUGGCAACCCUGGAAUCUAAAGCCCAGGGGCACAUUGCUUAAUUCUGGAGACUAGGAACAGACACAUACAGCCCUGCUCUGUGGGACUGUGCAGGGGGUCCUACCCGAUCUGGGCUCUGGCUGUGCGACCAGGAUGUUCCACACAGCGGGCUCCCGCCCUGCUGGGCCUGGCUCGAUGUGUUUUAUUAAAAAGCAGCAUUUAUCCGGCCUGCUCCUGGCAGGGCUGCGGCUGCAGUUUAUUAGGACAUCAUUUGGAGUGUAAAUUGUUGCUGGUUUAUAAAAAGGCUCUCGCAGAGCAGCUCCGCUGGGAUGGCCUGGAUCCGCAGCUCGAGGCAGACAGGCUUUAACGAAAUCAUUGAUUUCCCUCUGAAGCAGCAGCGGGCAGGAGCCUCGCCCAGCUGUUUAGCUGCCUACACCCUGUUCCUGGAGGGCAAAGUGGCAAGACUUCUUCCAGCUGUGUUGACAGCGCGUUCUCCUGCUGAAUCCCAGAUUCCCAAAGGCCAGUA